CUUUAGGUUUUUCUUCCUUAAAAUAAGAAGGCUCUGAAACCACAAUGGUAUUUGUAGCAAGGAAGUGAUCUCAAAGGAAGGGGGUGGUAGUGGACAGCCAAGAUGAAAGAAGGUAAAACUCCCUCUAACAACCUUCCCUGGAAUGGAACUUUCCCCAGGGGCCUUUUUUUUUUUUUUAAAUGGUCUGGAUCUGAGCUCUUGUGUUGGUGGAUCUGCAGGAUCUUUCCAAACACACAUGGAUUCAGCCUCAGUGCUUCCAUUGGAAGAAGAAUCAGCAUCAUCUCCCUUUUACACAAGGUGCCAUUUUGUCCUUGUGGAACUGGAUUGACAUUCCAAGCCCUUUCCUCACCCCCGUGCAUUGCAUGGUUGCCUCCCAUAACAACUGACCUGGCCAAGAUUACCACUGGAAUCCUUCUGCAGGAGGAAAGAGAAUCUGCAUUACUAGGUUGUAUGGAGUUGGUUGUAAACACUAGCAGAGCCAGAGAAACCAGCUUGAAAUUAAACCCAGCACCGCCACUGUGAGCACUGGGCACCUUUGAAAGUGUGAGCUUCCCAGAGGUCAUCUGGGAGCCUCAGAUCCAGUGUGAACUAACUCCACUGUUCAGCUACAUCAUUCUGUCAGAAGACAAGACUACUGAGGAUGCAUUAUGGGCUCUGGCUUCUCUCCCUCAGCAGGCUGGAGCUGUAGCAUCACAUGGCUAAUUGGGUGCCAACCUGAGAGUCCACACUUCACUAGGACCAGAGCAAGACAGAGAAAGCUUUUUCCAGGUCCUGAUUAAGACCCAAACAGCAAAACAGCUCACAGCCAAGGACAAUGUGUUUCAUCAUGUGCUCUUUGUCCCAGAAAAGGUGGGUUUCCAGAUCCUGCUCCAAGUCUCCUGGUGAAGUAUCAAGAGAAGGCUCAGAGAUUCCAAACCGUGGGAGGGCGAUUUCACACUAUGCAGUAGGACAAGCUGUGACAUGGGUGACAGUCGGGAUGUGAGCAAAGAUACAGAAUUAGAGUCACUUACUGCUGCACUGACUGAAAUUCUGGGGGUGGCACAUCAUGUACCUUGUAGCUUUGGCUACAGAAAGCUAGGUCUUCAUCUGAGGCCAGCUGUUAAGACAUAGGUGUCUAGCUCAAGGCUGAUAUUCUUUGAAAGGCUCACAAUUGGAGUUCCAUGAGAUCUGGUGUAUUAGCUUCUCACAUCCUUCUUUAUAAGGCUCCAUUUAUUUCAGGGUGAAUAUUGGGAAUGCACUCAUCUGCUGAGGGUUAGCACCACCCCCUGGCCCUACAUGGGCUUUGAAGUUUUUUCCACUGGUUACUAAGUGUCCUGCUUAAUUCAAAAUGACAUGGAAGCAAAACCUUAGGCCUGGGAUGAAUGCAAGAACUCUUCUGAGGAGGGUUUGAAAAUCUCAGCCAGUGCUUCUGAGUGUCACUUAGCAUGGCCUCAAGAAUUCAGUCCCUGUCCUCCCACUACCCACUCCUCUCACCUUUCUUUUCUUUCCCCUCCCACUAUCCUUUUCAAAGCUGCAUUCUACAGGGGAGGGUCCUGGUUCCUAGGAGAAGCCUGUUCCUGAACUUGAAGGGAGGAUAAAGCCAGACCAGCUGCAUUCCAAAGCAUAUAGUGCCCUCUGAAGUGGGAAGGCCCCAGGCCAGACCUCUCCUAAAUCCUGAAGGUGCUGCAGCAGCAGUGUAGGCUGGAAGAACAAGUUGGGCAACCAUCCAGGCAGAAGUAUAAGGACAGUCUGUGUUCAAAGGAGGGAGCACAGUUGUUGCAGAGAACAGCAGGUUCCAGCCAGGUGUUUCAGCACUUACAAAGGAGGGAGGGCUGGAGGAGGAGAUGGCCAGAUGUGGCUGGCGGAAGGGGAGGGGAUUUUGCUGCAACCAACCAGCCUCACCUAAAAUUCCAUCCUGGGUGGGGAAAUGCCAACACUUUCUCUUUGGAAAGCCAGGUCAAGAGGAUCAAUGGGAAUUUGGAAGAGGCACAGCAGUGGCAAGGCGCAAGUUCACACAUGUCUUCAGAGGAUGGUUUUGACUCCACAAAUAGGCCCGUGUAAACCCAGGGCCUGAUUCUGAGCUCACUCCCAAGAUGUUAGAUAAGGCUUGCUCCAUUGAAGUCAAGUGGAAGGAUACCUACUUUACACCAGGGCAAGCGAAUCAGAUCUCUGUGAGCAGGGAGCAGACAGACCAGGAGUCUUGAGAAUUGUUUUUCCUUGACAAGUCUUGAAAGCCUAGUUUUGUUCCUCCUACUGACUUCCGCUAGCAAUGCUUACCUCACUCUCACCACAACCACAUGUACACCCUCCUUCACCGCCAGUCUUCCAUCCCAGACACGAUCACACCACACAAUCCCCCAGCCAUGCAUAACUGCACAACACAAUCACAGUCUCACAAAUAUUUACAGACAAGGUUCAGAUUUCUUUACUGACACAAUGUAAAGAAUCUAAAAAACUGCCAAUAAAACCCAAACAACACUUUCCA
This 2464-nucleotide long non-coding RNA is filed under the name Crocodylus porosus (Australian saltwater crocodile). RNAcentral describes it as "lncRNA (ENSCPRG00005007839.1)". Lineage: Eukaryota; Metazoa; Chordata; Crocodylia; Crocodylidae. The record is from RNAcentral.